RNAcentral lists this transfer RNA (64 nucleotides) under Amarygmini sp. ACP-2013. RNAcentral's name for it is "tRNA-Arg". The record is from RNAcentral. Lineage: Eukaryota; Metazoa; Arthropoda; Insecta; Coleoptera; Tenebrionidae.
UAAAUAAGAAGCAAAUUAUUGCAGUUAGUUUCGACCUAAAAAUUUGAUCUCAGAAUCCUUAUUU